GUGCAGAGUUGCGGCUGCGGCUAGCAUAAUGAGUAGAGAUUGCACUUGAAGUGAAGGAGCUAAAAAGGGGGGAAGACUACAGGGCUUCAUAAAAUCAAAUCAGUAAAAUUUGACAACAAAGAAUAAGAAUAGCUUGACAGAAUCAAUCUUUAUGAGAGCUGAAAAAUGCUAGUCACAUAUCACAGUAGUCAAUGCAUAAGUAUGAGACAAGUCGAUUCAAACAGCAAGCAAAGGACCAAGUAUAUAAAACGAAAAUGAAAUUACUGUUUGACUAGCAGAGAGCAAGAAACCAAUAAAGAGAGGAAUAAAACGGUAAGAAAUUCCAGAUCAAAAACUUUAAGAUCUUUCUGAAAUAAAAGCACAAAAAAAAUUUUGCAUUUAUCAAAGGAGGGCAGAGUUUAACAGGAGAUGAAAAAUAAUGCAUGGAAAAGUGUUUUGUAUUUUAAAUGCCAGGAAUACGAUCCUCAUUCAUUUCUCAGUACAUAAAAGAUAGAAAACAAAAUCAACUGCAGUUUUGUUGAAACUGUCAACGAACAAAGGAAGUUGAAAUAUAGCUUUUGAUCCAGCUGCAAGAAUUAUGCACUUGAACUCUGAACAGGUUGAGCCCAGAAAGCAGGAAAACCUUGUUCCUCUCAAUCUCAUGCAAACAUGAGCUGUCAAGGUUAAGCAUAAUAAUAAAUUGGCUUGAAAACUAACAUAUCCAAUGGUUAACUAAACCAUUAGGCAUCAUGAAUAAAAUUGACUGAAGCUCCUAUAAAUGAAUGAAAUGCAGCAGAAUAAACUUUUAAGACUACCUCACAAGAAUUAGUAAGAUAACCACCCAUUUGAGUGAACUCUUUCUUGUACACCAACAUGAGCAAAUCAAUUGCCCCCUAAAAGAAAUAGAACACGCCAUGGAUUAGUGAUACUUCAAAAGAAAAGGGACUGAAUAUUUAGCAUGCCCGAUUAAUCUUAAAUUGAAAAACAUUGUGAACCCGUUGCCUCAAAAUUUUUGUUUCACACACAACCCAAUAUUGCAAUUUGCCACGUGGACUGAAUGCAUAUACCAACCUCUGAUAUUUCCAGCGAUGGCACAUGUGGUAAAAAAUCAUUACCAACAAACAGACACAUGAAUACAAAAUCAUCUAUGAGUCGGUCCAGGUCAACUUUCACUGUUGCAUCCGGUAUUUGCAACUCAUGUGCUAAGUAGUCCCUGAGUACCCAAAUGUGGAGAAACUGAAAAAGAAGAACCAGUAGUUACAAAAUCAUUUGCUACAUUAUCUCUGAUCACUACUAUGUUCAAAGAUAGAAACACAACAAUCAGGUUACAGAUUUCAAUUUUGCACCAUUUCAUCUGCCAGUGAACCAACAGCAAAAAAAUAGAUGCUUUGUCAAGAAGAAAUGGAUGAAGACACAUGGAUAGAAGAAGGAAACAAAGUGCUGAAAGUUCCAAAUUAUCAGAAACAAAUUUGUUGGGUGGAAGAUGUUAAUGUAUGAUCAACUUGUACAUCUUACAUCAGAUUCACAAAGAUUCUAACACUCUUGAAGAGAGACCCGUACUAUGUGAUUGCAAAAAUAAAUAUCCAACAAGGAGAAGGAAAUAAUUAGUGAAUGUGUUCAAUCAAUAGGCAUCUAUUGGCAUAAUUAUCAGUAGUGAGAGUCAAGUGAAGCAUAGCCCCAGCCAAAGCACAAAAUGCAUAGAGAAAUCGUACACCCAACAUAGAGCUGACAAUGAUAAAAAUAUAGUAAAGAAUGGCAUGGCAUUACACACAUACACUACUACGUAAGUGACUUGUCAAAGGCAACAACUUAUUCUAACAACUUACUGUAACAAGUGCCAUCCUAAAGUUGAGAAGAAAUUGCAAAAACAGUUGAAAAAAAAAUCAUGCAUUAAUUUAACAACCAAGGUUGUAAGAUCGAAUCAAUGAUGCUUUUUAAAGAAAUAUCCUUGCAUCAACUGCAGAUCUUAUCUUUUUACUCCUAAAUUUCUUAGAAUGGCAAUUCAAUCAAAGAGCAUAUAAACCAUUAAGUGUGUAAAAGAAGGAACCUAACCUAGAACAAAAACAUUACAUGAUGCACAGUGCAACAAUUUGCACUAACUUUUCUCUAAUCCAACAAUUACCUUAGUUUCAUACAGGAACCGUGAAAUAAAGUGUAAUUGCAAUGAAGGAUUUCAGUAAUUCCAUUUAAAUGAUAAUCAACCUACAAGUGCCAGGUCUCUUACAACCAUAAUUGAUGAAAUUCUUCAUUGCCAGAGCCUCUUUUAAUUUGUAUAAGAUGGUACAAUUACUACCAUCAUGAAAAUAGUAUCAGUACCUUAAUAAAGUUUUUGCUGAUCACUUCACUCAAGAUAACGUUGCUAAACUCAUGCACCAAAUAUAAAACCAAAUUCUACAGAGGCCAUCAACCAAAAUCAUGUCAUGACAGUGAAUGGGUAAUAUGACUGUUACCUGAAAUCUUUGUCUUGAUAUAAAGGCUUCAAAAUCCCUAAGAUAUCCUUCCCCUUGCAUUGGCUUCACCAUUUCUUGUCUUUGGUUUUUGUCCUUAGGCAGAGCUUUGCGGACAUCCUACACCGUGCAUAAAAAUAAUGAACUCAUUAUAACUUCCAGACAACUAUAAACCACCAGCCAAGACUUAAUUAAAGAAGAGGGAUCAAAUACAAUCCCCUAAACUUAUACCUCUCUCAAAAUAGAAAAAUGGAUUUCAUGUGCAGCCAAUGCAAGCAUUAUCAGGUCUGCAUCCUAAAGAAAUUAGAAGAAAAGUAGGCACAUUUAGAUCAAGUCACCUCCAAUAAAUCCAUCACAAUGCAUAAAGGUUUCUGGAAGGUUUUCAUAGCAAAAUUUAGAGUGUUUACCAACUUUUGUCUAAUUUUUUUACAUCGAUAGGCAAAAGACAGGAAAGUACAUAAACCUAACAUCAAAAACAGAGAAGAAAAAAAAAUCUAAUGAGAAGAUUUUUACCAAUCCAUACAAACAAUGUCGUGUAUUUGGAUCAAAUCCUGGCAAAUUUCUUUGCAAACGGAUGUAAGACAUAAUCUUGUGUUCCCCUUCACCAGGCACACUAGCAUCAGACAGAAUAACCUAAAAAAGAUCAGCAUAGUCAUAUGGUAUUACAUUUGUGGAGGGGGAGGGAUGUGUAUGUGUGCGUGAGAGAGAGAGAGAGAGAGAGAGAGUCUGUGUGUUUUUAGACCGGUCCAAAAGGAACAACAAAUCAAAGUCCUAGAAAUUGAACCGAAAAAUGCCUUGAUUCCUCGCCAACCGGAGACGGAGUUCAUCUUCAAGUGUACAUAAUAUCGAAGUGCAGAUGACAAGAGUUGCAUGAAUUCAGUUCCAGGAGUAAUUAUAUUAGAAUCCAGCUUUUUAUUUCCAAAAUCCUCUCCUUCUGGCACAUGGACCCCUUUCAAUGUCUCUGUUUUAGAUGCCUGAUCAUAAUCAAAUUCCAGCCUAUUAGUUAUGUUGGAAACAGAAUAAAAGUACAGGGGCAAAACAAAAGACGAAAUGGUGGAAUGAUAACAUCUGCAGAAGCCCCGCUACCCAAAAAAAAAAAAAAAAUACAGACUUCAUCUGCCGCAUCUUUAGCAGCUCUGAACCGUCUUGCCCGCUGUUGAUUCAUCUUGGCACGCGGUGCCACACCAUCUGAGAGAUUAACGUUGGGAAUGUUUGAGUGAGACUAACAAUCCAAGUGGCGUCCUAAUGAAGCACUUAGAAAAGAGUUGUAAACUCAAACUCCACCUAGUAGUAAACGAAACAGUAAAUGCAGACAAAAGAAAGAAAUAUAAAGCUGGAGAUGUUGAUUUCAGCAUAAGUUAGCAAUAGACGGGAAUGGACGUACCAAUUGCCAUGUAAAAAAGUUUGCGCGGCCUAAUCAUGGAGAAUAAUCUGUCAAUGUACUUGAAUACCGCCUUAAAUACUUGGUCAUAAGUCUCCGGAGCAGGCUGUGAAGGAAGUUCACGAAUACCGCAUCAUUUAUUACGAAACAAAGCCGUUCAACAAAAACUAGAGAAGCAGUUCAUUUGUAAGAAAAAUAUCGAGCAGUAAUUUUGUCUGGUCUUUAUGAUACCAAUCCAUCGGGAUGAAAGCAGGGAUGGAUGAUUCCAUUCAUGUCCAGAUAGAGGUUAUCGAACUCGAGGCCGUUAGGGUUUGGAGCGGUGGUAUCAAUUGGAACGUCGACAACUGAGCGCGGGUAUCGUUCUGCUAGCCACCGAUAGAAUGCCGGUAUUCCCAUAGUCUACUUCACUGUUAUAUGCUCCCAACCUCACUUAGUCCCUCAGUCACUACUCCCUCCCGAACCGACUUGACUUGCCGUCUACUGACUGCUGAAAAAGGCGGAGGAGAGUAGGCAGCGUAACUGCUGGGGGAUUUUACUUCUUUUUUUUUCCUUUUAAAUUUCCGGGAUUUAGGGUUUUCAAGAUUCUCAGAAAGUUUCUGGGGCCGGUUUUCGUCCCUGCUCCUUCUCUGAUAGAUGACGAGCCCGGGGGCUGAACUUGUCCUGCGUUAACGGUACUACCAUCAAAACGUAGAUUAAUUUUAGGGUUAAAUGCAGAAAACCCCAUGAAUUUUUAUAGCCGUUGCACAAUACACCCCGAAAUAUGUUUAUAGGCACUUUACACCCAAGCUCCACUGAAAAGUAACGAAUCUUUACACACCGUUUAUUUUAUCACACAAAUGACAACUUUAUCCUCAGAUAAUAAUUGAACGGACAAAAGCACCCUUUGUUAGUGUUGCUCAUUAACUAGUUGGAAAGAGGGCAAUUCUGCUCCGCAAAUCGAGAUCUCUGCAUAAUUCAUACCAUACAUGCGCGCCAACUUUCCACAAUAACACUGAAAAAUCUUUUUGAAGUGGGCAGCACUAAGUUUAUCCCUCUCAUCAGGUCCAUACAACCAUCGUGCAAUUGGCAAAGCAGAAUUUUGUUUCUUCAAACUUCUUCCAUCCUCACUAUAGCUGCUUGAUGGAGAUUCACAAAAAGAAGGUCAAGAAUCAUAAAUCCUUUUGACUAACUCUGGCGCAACUUUUUGCCCAUUGAUAGGCUCAACUCCAUCACUUUUGUCAACUGUAUCAACUUCUUUCCCUUCAAAAACUCAGAGGCUGCUUCCUCAUCAGAUGAUCUUGCUCCCUUGUCACAUAUAUUAGAACUUCUGGUACGUAACUGUUUCCUAUACUUGGCUCUUAUUGUAGAAAGGAUGUUCUCCCUACACCACCCGUAAUGACAAAAUAAUUAUACGAAAUUCAUUCUUUAGGUGAACUGUCCACGAAAUAGGUUAACAAUGACAAUUCAACGAAUUUCAGUGAAGUUCUGGCGGAGAACCAUAAAUACUAACAUGAAUUACACUGACAUUCUUUUCAUCAAUGUGUUAUUAAGGACUUACUUCUACUGAACAUGGAAAAAUAUUUUCCUUCUACAUUUUAAAGGGAAACCUCAAACUAGUAAGUGGCAUAAGCAAAAGCUUCAGCAAGGAAUAGUAGACUGUCUACUUACUAAAAACAGACCUCAAAAGAAUUCAGGAUUCCAUUAAAUUCUGAUAAAUGCAAAUCAACUUAGGCAGCAGUAAAUUCAUUCUUUAUACCAAUAAUUUCAGCAGGAAGGAGAUGAGAAUAUUUGCGGACAUCGCAUUCCCUUCCGGCAUCAAAGCUCCUGAAAAUCUCCCAAAUAAAAUAAAUGCCACUAAAUUGUAAGAGCAAAAACAUCGUGAAACAAAGAACUCCAUAAUUUUGAACAGGCAGCAGUAAAUGAAAGAGAUAUUGCAAUCUGGUUACAAUAUUUCUCCUUGUUUCCUGCAAAUUCUCUACUAAACUAUCUGUAAUAAUAUCAACAGAGCCACGCAAGAAGGGUUCAUACAGAUAUAUCAAUAUCCUAGGUGCUUAAACUUAAAACCGAGUUGCGCUCAUGAAUCAAAUGCACCACGCUCUUUAAAUUCAUAUUGUCUGAUAUUCUAAAGCAUCAGAUUGGAAACUAACUAGAAAACUGAAGUGUCUCCUGUAGACAGCUACAAAUGUAAGACGUUGAAAUGAGUGGUAAAGACACAAUACAAAAACUCGCCUUUGUGAUGGUAAAAUGCUGAACACGCGGAUGUUUUCUGGAAGAUAUGAGUUGACAUAAUUAGCAGGAGCAAUUCCGCUGGGGUCAUCCUUCUAAGCCUUUUCAGGGAUUUCCAUUUUAAAAGAUAUCAUCGUAGCCAGCGAAUGAACCUGAAAUGUAUAUUAUCUUGAGAGACCAACAACCAGCCAGGAACAGGUCAUGUAAUGCAAAAUAUCAGCAUAAAUUGGAGUUUGAGAAACAUACUCCUUUAUCAGUUCUGCUACUUCUUGCCCAAGCAAUUUUCUGCAAGUCUCCAAAGUUACUAUCACGAAUUCCGCCAGCUUUAUGAAUUGCCUUCUCCAGUUCACCUUCAAUAGCUGCAUUACGGAAUUGUAAUGCUUUAGCCCAAUUCCAUCCAUGCUAGCUAUGCUGAUGAGAUAUGUAAUAUGGACGAGUCAACAAUACGCUAUACCAUUAGAAUGGUAGAGGUUGUCCCCAAAAGUUGUUUUCCCACCUUUUUGUGAAGGUCAAGAUAAUCAAAAGUCUCUUAAGGUUCUUAAACUGCAGCGAAUGCAAUUAUAAAAGUUUCACAGCAAGCAAAAGCCUGCACUCCUCCAUAUAAAACAAAAUCCAACCAAAUGAUCGGGAAAUAUGUCGAUUUGAAAAAAAAUAAUAAGAACAAAAUGACCAUUUUUGCCAAUAAACUCACCAAAAAUUUUUGUUUUUAAGCUCAAAGUCUAAUUGGCUCAACCAAAGACAUUAAAGAAGCAGAAUUGGUCAAGCAAGACUAACGAUCAAGAAAACAAAUGAAGCACCCAGCCACGAAUGACGAUGCCAUAAAAACUCAAUCCAAAAGGGAAAUGGGAAAAAAAAAAAAAAGAAACUUACUGGGUAAUGCAUGUUCAUCCCUUUGCAUUUGCAGACCUGCCCACCAACAAUCACUAUUUAAUGAGCAACACUAACAAAUCACACCAAAUUUGAGCGGGCAAUUCUGUCACUAUUUAUCACACCAACAAUCACUAAUUAUAUUCGUUGGAAAGAGGGCAAUUCUGUCAGCAAAUUCAACGGAUAGAAAGUGCAAGCCACGCGCUUUGUUUCACCGUGAAAUAUGUGAACGGUCGUUUUCUUAGGGUGUAAAGUACCUAUAAACAUAUUUCGGGGUGUAUUGUGCAACGGCUAUGAAAGCUCACGGGGGUUUUCUGCAUUUAACCCUUAAUUUUAUGGUGUAUUUUUCUAUUGUUAGAUGCGAGCUUUUUCAGAGCUUGAUUGUCCGGUGCAUACACUUCCCACCGAAAAAAUUAAAUUGAGAUGAGUAAUGAUAAUGAUACAUACAUUAAUAAUAAUAAUAAUAUAUAUAUUAUUAGUAUAUAAAAAGUUAAUCGAUAUAUUAUAUGUUGUUCGAUCUGUUAAUUGAGAUUUCAGAAGAAGUCGGCGGCCAAAAUUACCAUUAUCUGCACCUUAGUGUCACGUACCUUUCAACCACAAGAUUCUGAAAGCCUCGAUUUGUAAAUCUUACAAGUGGAAUAACUGUUUAUCAUAAAAUUACUGCUAUUACCACUACUUUCAUCACAUUAUAUAUUAUUCCACGGCUAAUUUCUCUGCAUUGAAUGAAAUUUACACACUACUACUACUACAUUUCAUCUCAUUAUAUUACUCUACUGCUAAUUUCUUUACAUUGAAUAAAAUUUACAUAUGGUAUAAAUGAUGGUUAUGAAUUGGCAUAUUACAUUUGGAAGAAAAGCAAUUUUAUCGAAUAGUAAGCAGGUCAAAACUGCUUUAAUACCGGGUAUUAAUAGGCAAUAUGAUUCCAAAAAGGUAUUGGGCACCGCAUGUGUGUCACAUAGCAUGUCACGUGAUGAAUCAUUCUAUCAUCACAAUGAGUGACAUUAUUAGGUGAUUUUUGAUUGAUAGUAACUCGUUGUCGCGUUACCUUUGUUUGGAUCUCCUGUUUUUGGAGUAUUUUUCAAAUACAAUAAAAGUUACAACAAAGUACUCUAAAAGAUAAUCUAAAAAUUAGUUUAAAUUUUUUUAAAAUUUUACCAAAUAUCUCAUAAUAAAGUGUCAAUAAAAAAUAUUUUAAAAUAUUUUCUAAAAAUAUUUCAAAAUAUACUCUAAAAUUUCAAAAACACUCCCAAAAACAGCUAAUCCAAACGGAAGUAGUUAGUAUUUUAUCUUGGAUUUCCCAAAUUUAAAGGCCUCAAUAGUGUCUCCUAUAAAAAAUGUACAAGUUUCUUGCGAAGUCUGCCAGACGUGGAUGGUGCUUCGAUGGAUUCGAUUCUUACAGGAUGCACGCAUCCUUGUUGUUAGGGGUGGAUUAUCCGUUGAGGACAGCUGGAGUGUAUAGACUUUGAGCCGCCGGGGAAAUAAAAAACUCAUCGGCUAACUCGCGAAGGACUAUGGCCCUUUGGCAACUAUAGCGGGUACAUUUCAAACUGAGGGAUUGGGAAGGGAAGCCUCGUCCCCGUUGCCCGAUUGGCCUAUUCCUUCUGCCCACUCUCAAGACUCCACGCCUGUGUGUUGGGUCUUAUCAUUUAAAGUUAAAACUCUGCCGCCUUACCUUCAGCUUUGUUCGCUCUUUUUAGAUUUCACAUAUAUUUGUGGGGUGUUUGAAUAACAAUUAUUUGGCCAAAAAUUAUUUGUUUAUAUCACAGAUAUAAUUUUUAACACAUUUUUUUUUAUCUCAUAUACAUCACAUCAUUUAGGGUGUGGUUGCAAUAGGAAAAUUUAAAAUUUUUAUAAAUGCCUCGAUAAAAUUUUAAAUCUAAAAAAAAAAACUUGGAAAAUAUAUCUAGGGUGAAAGUUUUUAAAAUACAACAUUACAAUAAAAUUUUUAAAAAUACUUCUAAAAACACAUAAUCCAUACAAAUCCUAUGUUAUUUAUCUUUAUUAGUUUUGAAACUUCAAAAAAUCUCACGUUAUUGGGGCAGGGGCUUAGGAGAGAAAUGAAUAAUGGAAUUGUCCCAUAAAAAAUCUAAGCCUAAACUUGAUCAUCAAAACACUAAAGAGACUUGGCUAUCGCUGUGUUGCAAUCUCAAUAUCAAAAAGAUGCCUACAAAUCCUUUGAUACCAAUGCAUUGAUUUAUAUACAUUUUUUCUGGAAAAACUUCAAAACAUUUUUUUUUUUUAACUAUCUUCUUUCUCACUAACGCGUCUUCAACAAUGAUAUUACAAUAAAAUUUUUCUCAACGUUAUAGUAUUUUUAGGAAAAUAACCUUAUAGUACUCUUUGGAACGUGAUAUAGGCGACCAGCCCAAAGGUCGGUGGUUUCAUACGACCAAUUCACCUAGUUAAUUUUCUGCAUAAAAUAAAAUAGGGAUUUGAGCGUACCAUUACCAUCCCAAUUCCCACACGUGAAGUUGUGGUCCAAGUUCCAUUUCCAUAGCCUAUAGUUAACUAGCAUUCAAGAUUCAACUGCGGGAGCCUCCUUGGGGUUGGGGCACCAUGCAUGACACAGAAGCAUCGAGGACAUCGCCAUCCAAUCAUCCAUUCAUCCAUCUUGUUGGCUGUUGCUACUCUACUGCAGUUGAGUAUAUAGCAUAUAGUGCAUCUUUAUAUGUGUAGGCUAAUUACGUCUUUCUCAUGCUUCCCAAGACCACGACAUUCCUUGCAUUCGAUGCAACACAAAAUCUUUACUAAAAUUAAUAGACCAAUCCACAUAUGGACCUGAGCUGAAAAAACUACUAAUCUAUGAGGUUAUUUUUUCUUUGUUUCCCCUUCAACUCUUACUUAAGCAUCAACAUAAAAAUUCCAGUUGGUCUUCGCUUCUUCCAGUUGCAGUUUUUGUUUUCCAGAUCCACAAGAAACAAUCGAUGAGCAUCCAUCGUCCGCAACCCAGACAAGGACAAUUCCAGUUGGGGUAAGCUCCACUUUUUCCAUUUUUUCUUUUUUUUCCCCUCCCCCCGGGCGGGUAGUCCUACGGCCUCCACCCCUGUAAUCACUGCGUUUCGUUCCUAAUUCGGUCGCUUGGUCAUUAUAUCCUUCGGACUGGCCAAUACAAUACAGCUUUCCUCUUUCAGAAGCUUCUUUUAUAUUCCUCACAGUACAUUCCAGUUCCGUUCAAACCAAAGUCUAGGCUGUAGUGCUGGGAUCGCUACUGAUUCUUGGUUUGAGUAGAGAUGAGACGACGACCAGCCAAGCUUUUGAUCGAUCUUACCGGUUAAAAAGGUAACUGGGAAUGCUGCACUUGCACUUGCAUGCACAGAGAUUCGUGUUUCUUGCUGAAAGCAUUAACCUGCUGCUUGAGCAUGAUUCUGAAUCUGAUGCGAGUUGACUGCACACCCAGGAGGACAUUGAGUGGAUGUCUUUUAUAGGUGCAGUCGUUACCGUCUCGCAAACUACACGGGAAAAAUGUAGAGCUUUAUUGACUCUCUAAAUAAUAUUCAAUUGUCGUAGGAAACUUUGGCUCAUUCUUCAGCAUUUUCUGAUCACAAUUCGCAGGUGAAAUAGCUAGUUCUUGACAUGGACGAAGCGCCGGAGGAAUUGAGAAUAAGGGGAACAUCGCUCAUAACUCAACACAAGUCGUCGCCACUGUCGUUCCACCGUCACGUGAGUUUUAUUACCUUCACACGAGUCCAUACAGCAGUAUCUUAUCUUCCAAUUCCUUCCCACGGACUUGCGUUCUUAAUUAACUAUCAUCCUCCUAUGAAAUUGUGUCAGACUCAGACUGGCAGCCCAGAGGAUUUGUAUUCGACCAGAGCUCAAAAGCACUUUAAGACCACAAAAAGAGCUCUGGCCUCUCAAAUUGAAGAACCAAUGGAUACUCCUGAGAGCCCUAUCAGUGCAAUGGAGUUCCUGUGCAGACCAUGGAGUCCUUCUGCCUCCAACUUCCUGCAGUUAUUUCCUUCAAGUGUGAGUUUGCUACUUCCCAAAAACAUGCGUAGCACAAACGAUGCGCACUUAACAAGUUCGUCCUGUUAAAUUGUUCACUGACCCAAUGAAGAAACAAUCUAACAACGAAGACAUAAGAAACUGGGAGUGUUUGGGACCAUCUAAGAUUGUGAUCCAUCCGUGACCGCAACCAUGAAGUGGUGGCCCCAUGUCCAAACUUUGACAUUAAUCCACUUCAGUCUCUCUUUUGUCCUUCUGCUAGUAGUUUCAUGCUUUCUCGAACUAGGUGAAUAUGCAUUGAACUUGUAAUGAGCACAUACCGAAUUUGAUCCAAAGUUCACCGAGUUCUGAGCUAUAAUCGGUACACACAAAAUGUGGCAUUGAAUUUGUAGAAUCUCUCGUUUGCCCAGUAUGACAGGGCCAGAGCAGAAGAUCAUGAAAAUCAACCAGAAGAAGCAUUGAAGCACACCCCAGAAAGGAACCAAGUGCUUAUAAUCAACGAGAAAUUCAGUAGAGUAAUGAUCAAUCUCUCCCAUCAAUGUUCAGGAAUUCAUUCGUUUAUUAGUAGUAAUAACCAGCGAUUUCACAGUCAUCCCUAGCCUUGGAGGUGCAAGAAAUUUGCCAGGUGAUAUUCAACUGAAACAGACCUGUGUUACAACUCUUUGAAUGCCAACUUCUCUAGAAAAGAGAUUCAAGUUAGUAAACGUUUUUUCUUCCCAAAUUUGUGCUCCGGCCUUGUUCCCCACAGCUAGUCCAGUGCUCUUAUGCUCAUAGGAUAGGUUAAAAAUCAUCUAGUUGUACUCUACAUUCCUCAUCUUGAUAUUAUGUACAUUUUGGUUAUGUAGAUGAACUUGAAUCACGUGAAAGGAUGGCCAAAAGGCAAAUCGCUCUCUGGCUUCUUCAGAUCUUGUAAAGAGAAGAAGAAAGAUGAAAUUCGAUGCCACACGGCCAAACUACAUGCUGCACUUUCACUUACAGAGCUUGCUGCAGCAAUUGCACGCUUUGCAACCAGUACCAGCACAGAAGCACAAAACAUCAACCGAAAAGGCAAUGGUGAAACAAGGGCAAUAUACGAGGAAAUGGGAGGUGCUGUUGCUACUGCAGCAGCAUUGAUGACUACUGUAUGUGCUGAGGCAGCAGAAUCUUUAGGUGCAGAUAGAGCUCAACUUGCAUCUGCAGUCAAUUCUGGCCUGGCCAUCGGUAAUCCUAUUGACAUGAUGGCAGUAACAGCAACAACAUCAACAUGUAAUGUUAAUAAAUUUUCUUCUGUCCAACUGCAUUUCCGUUCUUGUACAUUUCUUCCUCUUGCUAUGACCCUCUUAAGUAAAUGACUCAUCGACUCUUAGGAACUUUAACUUGAUAGAUGAUGUGGAAUAGCUCCUAAUUAUCAGGUUUAAGAGGUGCUGCAAUUCUGAAAUCAAGAACUAUGGCAGACUCCUUGAGGAUCCAAGGGCUGCUUAGAGCUUGCACUGAGAUAUGUAUAAUCACCCCAUCAGGUAAAUGAGAAGUGUAUGUUUUAUAAAAGGACGUGCACAUGGAAAUGUUUGAUGCAAGAACAUACCCAACAUAAAAGGACUUCUGCUUGUGAAACUGAUGUUUUAUAAAAUGCAGGUCGCAGAGAACACAAAUGGGUCACCAUACAUUCAAAGCCCAAACAAAUCACACUGUCCUUCAAGAAGAAGUAUUUUGGAGGAACCCUAUCAAUUUCGAAAGAGUGUAUGGCCUUAUUUAUUCUAUUUCUGAUUUUGUCAGCAAGGAAAAUAACCCCUUUCACCCAGUCGUUGACUUGUGUCUCCUCUUUUUUUUUUUCCCCCUGUAAUCCCUCUUUCCAAACCUUGGGGGGCUUAUGGCUAGUAGGUCACUAGGUCUCUGAUAUAUUUCUUGUCAUCAUUUUCUGGUUAUGAGGGAUGGAAGGCAGUUCGCAAGAGAUGGAUAUUUUCUCGAAACAAAAGAAUAGGGUCAAUGGAAGCCUAACAUAAAACCUAAUACCUUUUCCUUUUCCAGACAAGCUUAUCUGUAUCGAGGAAGCAAUGGAAGGCGAGGAAUACUUCUUCCUAAGUUUGAGGACAAACAAUGGCAUCAUCAAGCUACUAUUCAAAGAUCAGACGCAAUUGAACAUCUGGAUAUCAGCCAUUUCCAGUCUCCUAAAGAUGGCACAACCCCAGCCAUUUCUCAGCUAAGAAGUCACCAGCAUCGUACCAUCCAUGAUUCAGUUCCAAGGGAAACAAAACACAAAUCAAUUAGCCUAUAGCUUGAUGGCUGUGAUACUUUCUUUUCUGUAUGUCCCAUUUAAACAGCUUAUCCAUAUCAGGGAAACAAUGGAAGGUGAGGGAUACUUCUUUCUCAGUUUGUGGACAAAACAAUGGCAUCAUCAAGCUACUACUUGAAGAUCAAAAGCAAUAGAACAUCUGGACAUCAACCAUUUCCCAGCCCCUAAAGAUUACAACCAGCCAUUUGUCAGCUAAUUAGUCACAACCAUUUUACCAUCCACCAUCCAGUUACAAGAGAAACAUUACAAAAAUCAAAUACCCUAUAUCAUGACUCUUAAUACUUUCUUUCUGUUAUGUCCUAUUUAAUUGAAUACAAUUCUACAGAAAUUCCAUGAAGCGGAAAAUAGAAAUGAAUAAGCAAGACGUAUUUAUCAAAAUUGAAAAACUCAAAAAGACUAUUCCCCGCUUUAAUGGAACAGUGACAUGGUCCACAAGGACAGUUGUUGUGAACAGUCAAUUUAUGCAUUCAUCACCUUUCUUCUAAACACUUUUUUACACCUACAGAAAUAGCAACACUGACCAUACAGAGACCACAAUGCACAACUAUAGGAAGAGGAGGAAGAAUUUUUGCCAAGCACAACUAAAUACACAGCUAAAACAUUUGAAUUCCUUAAAUAUUUUUGCAUGACAUCCUCAGUGGAUGCAGACCGAGUCUGGCCACCUGGUAUUUUUAAUUCAUAGUUGAAAGAUCUGAAAAUCAAUCUUAGUUUUGGAAGACAUCAUCAGUAAAGAUACCCUCAGAGGAGCCACUUGGUAUUCGAAGUUCAUUUCUCCUCGAACUCAACAUCAAUUACAUCGUGUUCAGACUUUGAAGAGGAACUCGAACCUUGGCUCCCUCUUGAAAAGAAGUCACCUUGAGGCUGCCAUACUAUAUUUCCACAACUUGCACAACGAACCGUCUGGUUUUUAUAUCCAGCAAACUGUCUCCUACAUGCAGGGCAUGCUCCCUGCUCAUACAAACACGAUAAGUACAGACGCAUUUUUAGGUAAUAUUCUUCUAAGAAGUCACAUUUCAGUAAAUGGUAAUUCUAUGCAAAUCAGUAAAUUAUUCCUGGCACAGAAAUUCUGCCACAAGGAACAAAACUAUUCUGUUAAAGCCCUACAUCCCUGAGGGAAAGAGUACAUCCAAUGUGCAUUCACAUGUAAACUACUUAUGGAAGGAAAAGCUUCACUCUCAUCCCUGAUGUACAAUUGCAAAGAGCCACCAAAGAAUUCCAUUUACCUUGAUGACAAGAUUGUUGGCGACAGCCCCUAUUAAAAGAGGACCAGCAAAUGGCAGCACCCACGUUGCAAAUAUCAGGAAACGAAACAGCCAUCCAGAAAGAGCAAACCACAGGAAGAAAAUUGUCUACACACAGAAAAUUAUAUUAGCAUUUUAGCAUGACAUGCUAACAUUUGAGCGUGUUAUUACUAUAGAAAUAUCAGAAGGGUAUGGGCCACAUGACCUGGGACAGAGACAGAUAAAAUAGAUUCAAGCCACAAACAGAAAUAUCAAUUAUCUAUGCAACUAUAACAUUCUUCUUUGUAUGCAGGUCUGCUUCGAUUUCUUUCCUUUAUAUUCAUCCAGUUAGCUAUAUAAAUUUUUAUUGUCGAUGUCUAGCCAGAAGAUUUAUGAUUUAGCAUAUAUGAUGUUACAAAAACUUUUUUGCACAAAAAUAUCAGUUACAAAAGUGAAAUGAAGUAUCUUUAUGAUUGUGGGCAUUCAUAUGCAGAACAUGAAUGAUCUGCAGAUAUUGUCCCAGGAUAGAAGAUAAGAAUUUAAAUGAUAAAACAACAUGUGCAUGAUUUAUAAAAAAAUCUAGACAUUUUAAACCCUUGGGAAAGUUUGACAAAACAUUUAUGUUGUCAUCCGCCUGGCUUCCAGAAUCCAGAAAAUAUUUCAGACAAGAUAAAGGUGCCAAUUGACAAGAAAGCAAGUACAUAGCAAAAUAUUGAUGUGAAAACAUUAGAAAAGUGUUAAAAAUUAAAAGAAUUGGGGAAGAUGUUCAUAAUCAAGUUACUAGCACUAGGUGCAUAUCAAAUUUAAAAUUUCUGAACUGGUUAAAUGGCUUCUGAUGAAGCAAUAGAACAUGUCGGCCUAUCAACCCAGAAUAUAUACUUGCAAUGCCAUAUGGAGUAUUUAAUCCUGUGCCUUGCUUUCUAAGAUUCUUCCAGUAUCAGCAUCAUCCACAGAAAAUCUGGUGCCACAGGGAAAAGUCAUAGUGCUGAAGCAUAAAGCUAUUAAGGGUAAUCUAACUACAUUUGAGGCAGUCCCUAAUCUAAGGAUCACAUCCUCCGUCCCACAUUGAAAAAGAGAAACACGCACACACAAAAUAAUUGUAGCUAUUGGUUUCAUCAGUAAGCUGUUCGCUGAUGAUUUUUUACCUGAAUUCGGGGUUAAUUUUUCUUUUCACUUUAGCCUUGGGCAAUUUUGGGUUAUAUUUGUUGCGCUUGCAGAAGGAAAAGAUCUUAGCAGCCAAAGGAUGCGAUGUGUGAACAAAUAGUAGAUCAAGACCCAAACUGUUUCUUCGUUUUUCUUCAUCCUAGAUCAGAAAAAUAUUAUUCAGCAUUUUUAGAGAACAUACAGGUAAGUGAGAAUGCUCAAACAUAUUGAUAUGCAGAAUAACACAGAAAAAAUUACAUCACAUAACAAUGCAAUCACCGCUUUGUAUGGGUGAAAAUGUUUUAAUCAACAAUAAUGCUGCCUUUCUGUCAACGCAACUUCGUACUGGUUACAACACUACUUGUGUACAGUCUAUACAGAUCAGAACUUACUGUCAAAGUAUGUUCAGCUUUUUCAAUCUCUGCGAGAAGGCGUAACUCGUUGAUGAAUGGUAAUUUACACACCGCCUGCCAAAUCAUGAGGACAACUAAGUAAAAUCAAGCUGCCCUACAAAAUUGUUCAAUUAGAGAAGGUCUGUGUACAGCUGUUCAUAAGGUUUAUUCAGGCGCAUUUUACACAUUCAACUGCACAGGUCUCAGUCCCAUAAAAAUCAGCUAUUCUGAAACUGUAAAUUCAAUUUUAGGGUCUCAUGCAAUGCUAUCUUCUCUUUCUUUCCCUUUACUUUGCUCCCACUUAGAGGUGAGAUGAAGGCAAAAUGACAUUCAGGAUUAACAUCACCUUUUAGAUCCUAGAUCAGAAAAUGCAGAUGCUGUGUUGUGUACGUGUCUGUGCAUUUUUAAAUGCUCAGAAGUAUUCACAAUCAAGUCAACUGACAAAUCCUAAUGGAUGGGCUAGUAAGAAGCAAACUAGAAUCCAAAGGUUAAAUAAUGAUAACUCAAACACAGUUUUGACUAUUAUAAGCAGAUAACAACUCGCACCACAAUUUACAGGUAUCAAAUUAAGCGCACGACCAGAAUACAUCAAGUACAGUUCUAUACAUGACAAUGAAAUAUGCUCCUUAUUAACCCGAACAUGAACCUAAGGAUAGCAUACAAUUCAUAGUAUAGCAACAUAUCAGCAAAUAUUUUAUGCAAAGGCACAGAAAGAUGAAAGACCUACAUUAAGCCAUUGAUCAAUUCCAAAAUAACACCUGUUCAGCAUGAAAGUAAAAUAGCUAAGAAAUUUUCAUAAUUCAGAAGUAAAGCAAUUUACUAAACCAUACCUGCCAAGCAUGUCUUUUUCCGUUAAUGUCAAGUUCAAAAUCUGCGAGACAUAACCUCCAAUCAGUUUAGCACAAGGAACAGUAAUCAUGCGAAAAAGAUUUAUGGUACAAUCACCGUACCUCUUGGGUAGAAGUCCAAAAUAGGAGAUGAUGGAUCUGUCAUUAACUUUCUGUAAAAGAAUGGGAGUGCCUGCGCACUAAAUGUUCAAGAAGUCAAAUGCUAAAUCUGAAAGGUUAUUAGUCCAUGUAUAGACGAGACAAUAAGUUAGGUUCUAAACCUUGCAGCAGGGAGAACUGCCAUUAACUGAUCAAAAGGCUUGAACGGUUUACCAAGAUUGAACUUUAUUUCGAGCUGGUGAAGACCAUGGAAAUCUGAUGCAAAUGGAGCAUAGUGAUAAGGAUAAAACCUGCAAAUUGGAACUAAAUUAUGUUUCUAAGUUACACAAAAUUUUCAGAAAAAUACACCUUCUAAAAUACAAUUCAGCGCAACAAAGUUUGUCAGAACAAUGUAAGAACAUCAUAUAUUGAAAAUAAAGAUCAUAAACUAUGCCUCAAAUUCAGUUUCUGCAAUCAGGGUUCUCUGGAUCCUAUUUUGUAUGAAUUGCUUUAAUAUUAUUAUGUUCUUUAAUGACUCAGCUACUAGUCAAAUUCAGUACAAACCAUUGCCAAGAGCAAACUCCUUGGUAGUAAUAAUGCAUGACCCAAGAAAUUCCUUCGACAUAUUUGAAGACCUACAUCAAAUAGAGCUCAAUAAGAAACAUUUGAAAGAGCAAAGAAAUAAAAUAGAAAGAUUAACUAGAGGUCCAAAACUAACUAGGAUUACUGUGACACGAGCUUGAGGUAAAUAAAGAUAAAUCUAUAGUGAAAAUAUAAAUCAAGAGAGAGACAAUAUCCCUCACCAUGUUAUAGCUGAUUGCAAAGAGAAAAAGAAAUAGAGGUGUAGAAAACAAGAAGAAUUCACAUACAAAGUCAAUUAGAAAAAGAAAACGCAUGCAAGUGAGAGUCAUCAAGAGAACCUAAGAAAUAGAAUCAACAACAAAUAGCAUAAAACGUGCAAUUAAGGGGCAGAGCAAAGUUUGAAAGCCAUAGACCUAAUGGUAUUGGCACGGCAGCAAUAUCUCCUUACCGCAUGCCUUUGUAUUUUUCCAUACUCUUCAUCAUUUUGAACCUCAAAUUUUUCAAUAUAAUAUCUUUCCUUCCAUCCCUCUUCUCCUAAUUUGACCUGCAAAACAAAUAUCCAUUAGGAGUUUUGCAGAGAAAAACAGUUGAGACUUGGUCUACAUAAUUACAGCCAAAUAUAAGAUGGGAAGAAAGAAACACAUGGAAUAGAGGAGCAACCUUGUCAACUGCAAAUCUGGUUUCGGUACAAAAAUGGUCUGUUGUACUCUGAACUUCCAUGGCUCUAGACUGAUGAAGAAACCAGCAUAAGAGGGUACAAUUACGAUCAAACAACGCAAAGACUAGUAAAUUUCAGUCGAAACUUCAAACUGAAUUGUGAUACUCACUUUAACUGAACAACGUUUCAAGUUUAUAUCCCAUGCUUUUUGUGCCUGGCAAAAGAAAAUUACAACAUGAUUAUAUGUAGAUCACACAAUAGACAAUACAAAGCAAGUAGAAUAUUCAUGUGCAAGCCCAUGAAACAGCAAAUAGAUAUGAUUUUCACCUUUAACCAACAUUAAAAUGAAUUCAAGUCACAAUAGAGAAAAAUAAAAGUCACCUGAUACUAUCCAGCAUGAAAUAUUAACCAACCAAAAGGAACAUGUUCUAAAACUUAAGAAGCCUGAUAAAACUGAGUAACCAAUGUUACCUGUGCACGUUUCCUGAAUAUGGCAUUCUCAUGUGCUCCAACUGCUUUUACAAAAUGCUCCACCCGCUCCAAAUCAACCUAUGCAAUCCAAUAUACAGGAUACUGAAGCAAAGAGCAAAGGUCUUGAAAAACGAUGAUAGCAAAAUAUAUUGGGAGUGCAGAGUUGCAGCUGCGGCUAGCAUAAUGAGUAGAGAUUGCACUUGAAGUGAAGGAGCUAAAAAGGGGGGAAGACUAGAGGGCUUCAUAAAAUCAAAUCAGUAAAAUUUGACAACAAAGAAUAAGAAUAGCUUGACAGAAUCAAUCUUUAUGAGAGCUGAAAAAUGCUAGUCACGUAUCACAGUAGUCAAUGCAUAGGUAUGAGACAAGUCAAUUCAAACAGCAAGCAAAGGACCAAGUAUAUAAAACGAAAAUGAAAUUACUGUUUGACUAGCAGAGAGCAAGAAACCAAUAAAGAGAGGAAUAAAACGGUAAGAAAUUCCAGAUCAAAAACUUUAAGAUCUUUCUGAAAUAAAAGCACAAAAAAAAAUUUUGCAUUUAUCAAAGGAGGGCAGAGUUUAACAGGAGAUGAAAAAUAAUGCAUGGAAAAGUGUUUUGUAUUUUAAAUGCCAGGAAUACGAUCCUCAUUCAUUUCUCAGUACAUAAAAGAUAGAAAACA
RNAcentral lists this long non-coding RNA (19137 nucleotides) under Coffea arabica (coffee). RNAcentral describes it as "long non-coding RNA (CARA_LNC001443)". Lineage: Eukaryota; Viridiplantae; Streptophyta; Magnoliopsida; Gentianales; Rubiaceae. The record is from RNAcentral.